This 457-nucleotide ribosomal RNA is filed under the name uncultured bacterium. RNAcentral's name for it is "partial 16S ribosomal RNA". It matches the Rfam family "Bacterial small subunit ribosomal RNA", at positions 338 to 795 of the family's 1533-position model. The record is from RNAcentral.
CCUACGGGUGGCAGCAGUGGGGAAUAUUGCACAAUGGGGGAAACCCUGAUGCAGCGACGCCGCGUGAGUGAAGAAGUAUUUCGGUACGUAAAGCCCUAUCAGCAGGGAAGAAAAAAAGUCCUUUGGACUUUGGACGGUACCUGACUAAGACGCCCCGGCUAACUACGUGCCAGCCGCCGCGGUAAUACGUAGGGGACAAGCGUUAUCCGGAUUUACUGGGUGUAAAGGUAGCGUAGACGGGACUGCAAGUCUGGAGUCAAAUGCCGGGGCCCAACCCCGGAACGGCUUUGGAAACUGUGCAGCUGGAGUGCAGGAGAGGUAAGCGGAAUUCCUAGUGUAGCGGUGAAAUGCGUAGAUAUUAGGAGGAACACCAGUGGCGAAGGCGGCUUACCGGACUGUAACUGACGUUGAGGCACGAAAGCGUGGGGAGCAAACAGGAUUAGAUACCCGAGUAGUC